Molecule: long non-coding RNA, 2403 nt
Organism: Nematostella vectensis (starlet sea anemone)
Lineage: Eukaryota; Metazoa; Cnidaria; Anthozoa; Actiniaria; Edwardsiidae
Exons: 3
Source: RefSeq, a predicted model, not a curated record
GGAACCCUCCUAAUAUCAUCCCACCAAGGUAGAUAGGAACCCUCCAAAUAUCAAUCCACCAAGGAAGAGAGGAACCCUCCAAAUAUCAUCCCACCAAGGUAGAUAGUAGCCCUCCCAAUAUCAUCCCACCAAGGUAGAUAGGAACCCUCCCAAUAUCAUCCCACCAAGGUAGAUAGGAACCCUCCCAAUAUCAUCCCACCAAGGUAGAUAGGAACCCUCCAAAUAUCAUCCCACCAAGGUAGAUAGGAACCCUCCCAAUAUCAUCCCACCAAGGUAGAUAGGAACCCUCCCAAUAUCAUCCCACCAAGUUAGAUAGGAACCCUCCCAAUAUCAUCCCACCAAGGUAGAUAGGAACCCUCCCAAUAUCAUCCCACCAAGGUAGAUAGGAACCCUCCAAAUAUCAUCCCACCAAGGUAGAUAGGAACCCUCCCAAUAUCAUCCCACCAAGGUAGAUAGGAACCCUCCCAAUAUCAUCCCACCAAGGUACAGUAGAUAGGAACCCUCCAAAUAUCAUCCCACCAAGGUAGAUAGGAACCCCCCCAAUAUCAUCCCACCAAGGUAGAUAGGAACCCUCCCAAUAUCAUCCCACCAAGGUAGAUAGGAACCCUCCCAAUAUCAUCCCACCAAGGUAGAUAGGAACCCUCCAAAUAUCAUCCCACCAAGGUAGAUAGGAACCCUCCCAAUGUCAUCCCACCAAGGUAGAUAGGAACCCUCCCAAUAUCAUCCCACCAAGGUAGAUAGGAACCCUCCCAAUAUCAUCCCACCAAGGUAGAUAGGAACCCUCCAAAUAUCAUCCCACCAAGGUAGAUAGGAACCCUCCCAAUAUCAUCCCACCAAGGUAGAUAGGAACCCUCCAAAUAUCAUCCCACCAAGGUAGAUAGGAACCCUCCCAAUAUCAUCCCACCAAGGUAGAUAGGAACCCUCCCAAUAUCAUCCCACCAAGGUAGAUAGGAACCCUCCAAAUAUCAUCCCACCAAGGUAGAUAGGAACCCCCCCAAUAUCAUCCCACCAAGGUAGAUAGGAACCCUCCCAAUAUCAUCCCACCAAGAUAGAUAGGAACCCUCCCAAUAUCAUCCCACCAAGGUAGAUAGGAACCCUCCAAAUAUCAUCCCACCAAGGUAGAUAGGAACCCUCCCAAUAUCAUCCCACCAAGGUAGAUAGGAACCCUCCCAAUAUCAUCUCACCAAGGUAGAUAGGAACCCUCCAAAUAUCAUCCCACCAAGGUAGAUAGGAACCCUCCCAAUAUCAUCCCACCAAGGUAGAUAGGAACCCUCCCAAUAUCAUCCCACCAAGGUAGAUAGGAACCCUCCCAAUAUCAUCCCACCAAGGUAGAUAGGAACCCUCCCAAUAUCAUCCCACCAAGGUAGAUAGGAACCCUCCAAAUAUCAUCCCACCAAGGUACAGUAGAUAGGAACCCUCCCAAUAUCAUCCCACCAAGGUACAGUAGAUAGGAACCCUCCCAAUAUCAUCCCAUCAAGGUAGAUAGGAACCCUCCCAAUAUCAUCCCACCAAGGUAGAUAGGAACCCUCCCAAUAUCAUCCCACCAAGGUAGAUAGGAACCCUCCAAAUAUCAUCCCACCAAGGUAGAUAGGAACCCUCCCAAUAUUACCCCACCAAGGUACAGUAGAUAGGAACCCUCCCAAUAUCAUCCCACCAAGGUAGAUAGGAACCCUCCCAAUAUCAUCCCACCAAGGUAGAUAGGAACCCUCCCAAUAUCAUCCCACCAAGGUAGAUAGGAACCCUCCCAAUAUCAUCCCAUCAAGGUAGAUAGGAACCCUCCCAAUAUUAUCCCACCAAGGUAGAUAGGAACCCUCCAAAUAUCAUCCCACCAAGGUAGAUAGGAACCCUCCAAAUAUCAUCCCACCAAGGUAGAUAGGAACCCUUCCAAUAUCAUCCCACCAAGGAAGAUAGGAACACUCCCAAUAUCAUCCCACCAAGGUACAGUAGAUAGGAACACUCCCAAUAUCAUCCCACCAAGGUACAGUAGAUAGGCACCCUCCAAAUAUCAUCCCACCAAGGUACAGUAGAUAGUAGCCCUCCCAAUAUCAUCCCAACAAGGUAGAUAGGAACCCUCCAAAUAUCAUCCCACCAAGGUACAGUAGAUAGGAACCCUCCCAAUAUCAUCUCAUCAAGGUAGAUAGGAACCCUCCCAAUAUCAUCCCAUCAAGGUAGAUAGGAACCCCCCCAAUAUCAUCCCACCAAGGUAGAUAGGAACCCCCCCAAUAUCAUCCCACCAAGGUAGAUAGGAACCCUCCCAAUAUUAUCCCACCAAGGUACAGUAGAUAGGAACCCUCCCAAUGUCAUCCCACCAAGGUACAGUAGAUAGGAACCCUCCCAAUAUCAUCCCACCAAGGUAGAUAGGAACCCUCCCAAUGUCAUCCCACCAAGGUAGAUAGGAACCCU